CGUCAGUUCUAUACGAUGCAGUGGUUCGGUGAAAAAGGACACAAUGAAAGUCAAAGUUACGAGUUACCAGCACCCCCCAAUCUCACCUGCUUGGAAUUGUUUACGUAUGAUCUGUGGGCCACCUCGGGAGCUUUCGGUCGUCCAGUGGUACCGGAAGUGAAUUGAAUAACCAUGCCGCUCCCGGGAGAGAUUUCACCCUGUUCAGCACCGAUGGCUUCCACUUCAAUGCUGCUGGCCAGGGACUCGACGUCGACGAAUCUCCUGGUGCCACUGUGAUGGAUGAAAUUUUUUAGGAAAAAUUAAUUAAAAUCCACUCACGAACGUUA
Neodiprion virginianus is the source of this 326-nucleotide long non-coding RNA. RefSeq lists it as uncharacterized. NCBI's taxonomy places the organism in Eukaryota, Metazoa, Arthropoda, Insecta, Hymenoptera, Diprionidae. The record is from RefSeq and is a predicted model, not a curated record. The transcript is spliced from 2 exons.